RNAcentral lists this ribosomal RNA (271 nucleotides) under uncultured bacterium. RNAcentral's name for it is "partial 16S ribosomal RNA". It matches the Rfam family "Bacterial small subunit ribosomal RNA", at positions 82 to 354 of the family's 1533-position model. The record is from RNAcentral.
CCUUUGCCGGCGACCGGCGCACGGGUGAGUAACACGUAUGCAACCUGCCCUCUUCAGGGGGACAACCUUCCGAAAGGGAGGCUAAUCCCGCGUAUAUCGGUUUCGGGCAUCCGAGAUCGAGGAAAGAUUCACCGGAAGAGGAUGGGCAUGCGGCGCAUUAGCUAGACGGCGGGGUAACGGCCCACCGUGGCGACGAUGCGUAGGGGUUCUGAGAGGAAGGUCCCCCACACUGGUACUGAGACACGGACCAGACUCCUACGGAAGGCAGCAG